CCUACGGGUGGCAGCAGUGGGGAAUUUUGGACAAUGGGCGCAAGCCUGAUCAAGCCAUACCGCGUGGGUGAAGAAGGCCUUCGGGUUGUAAAGCCCUUUUGUUGGGAAAGAACUCCAGCUGGCUAAUACCCGGUUGGGAUGACGGUACCCAAAGAAUAAGCACCGGCUAACUUCGUGCCAGCAGCCGCGGUAAUACGAAGGGUGCAAGCGUUACUCGGAAUUACUGGGCGUAAAGCGUGCGUAGGUGGUCGUUGAAUCGCGUUGGGAAAGCGCUGGUCUCAACCUGGGAACUGCAGUGGAUGCUGGGCGACUAGAGUGUGGUAGAGGGUAGCAGAAUUCCUGGUGUAGCAGUGAAAUGCGUAGAUAUCAGAAGGAACAACCAUGGCGAAGGCAGCUACCUGGACCAACACUGACACUGAGGCACGAAAGCGUGAGGAGCAAACAGGAUUAGAUACCCGAGUAGUC
RNAcentral lists this ribosomal RNA (465 nucleotides) under uncultured Stenotrophomonas sp. RNAcentral's name for it is "bacterial SSU rRNA". It matches the Rfam family "Bacterial small subunit ribosomal RNA", at positions 338 to 795 of the family's 1533-position model. The record is from RNAcentral. Lineage: Bacteria; Pseudomonadati; Pseudomonadota; Gammaproteobacteria; Lysobacterales; Lysobacteraceae.